This is a long non-coding RNA of Epinephelus fuscoguttatus (brown-marbled grouper), 389 nucleotides long. RefSeq lists it as uncharacterized. The record is from RefSeq and is a predicted model, not a curated record. NCBI's taxonomy places the organism in Eukaryota, Metazoa, Chordata, Actinopteri, Perciformes, Serranidae. The transcript has 4 exons.
CAUCUUGGUGGUUUCUACAAUUCUCUGGAAAAGGAAAAGAACUGAGAAAUGUUCAUGCAAGAGACCUAAAGCAAACGACACUGGUUUACAGAGUGGUGAAGAAAUUUACGAUAUUGUCGUCUAUGAGUGUGACACUGAGUGACGACAGCAGCAGCCCCUCAGAGAAGCCUGAUACAUCAGCCCUGACAUACACACUGUACAGCACUCCAAAGUCAAUAUGAAAUACAAACAUUGUGUCUCUUGCUUCCUUUUCACUUUGCUUUCUUAUCGACAUGUAAUUUGAUGUUAAAAGUGCUUUACACGAGAGGAGUGAUUCACACACAUUUACCUCACAUGUACACAAAUUCAUAUUGUCACAGUGUGCACUUCUGACCUGCCAUACAUGUCAU